CAUCGUUGAUCUCUACGCUCUCGUGCAAUUGGUGUGUUGUGCGCGAUCGGCUUGCUCUAGAAGUAGUUGUGUAUUGUGGGUUUUGAUCAGUGAAGGAGGGUUGCGUGUGUUUUUUUUUAUCCGUUUGUUGUAAAAGAUGACGACCUCGAAGAGGCUUGCGGACAAGAAGAGCGCUAAGUUCCAGAAGAACGUGCACAGGAGGGGCAGUGUCCCAGAGACGACGAUUAAGAAGAAGAACCAGUAUCCUGUUGGUCCGAUGGUGCUCGGCCUGUUUGUUUUCGUCGUCAUUGGGUCUUCUCUCAUCCAGAUCCUCCGCACUGCUACCACCGGCGCCAUGGCGUGAUGAGGUGAUGGCGUGGAUAGCGAUUUUUUAGUGCAGUAUACACGGCUAUGCGGUUAUUUGUUUUAGGAGCUUAUGUCAUGAGGAAACCGCGCCGUAAUGGUUUCGAGGGUUUUCAUGGAGUGCUCAAUUG
This 473-nucleotide long non-coding RNA is filed under the name Physcomitrium patens. RNAcentral describes it as "long non-coding RNA (PPAT_LNC012137)". Lineage: Eukaryota; Viridiplantae; Streptophyta; Bryopsida; Funariales; Funariaceae. The record is from RNAcentral.